GUCCCUGUAGCGCGAUUAAUAGCCCGUUGGGCUUCUAAUCCAAAGGGAGUGGGUUUGAAUCCCACCUGGGGUG
Non-coding RNA from Trichonephila clavipes, 73 nucleotides. The record is from the annotation of a GenBank genome assembly. Lineage: Eukaryota; Metazoa; Arthropoda; Arachnida; Araneae; Nephilidae.